UAGAACAUAGUGCUCCCCCUGAUA
This 24-nucleotide non-coding RNA is filed under the name Mus musculus (house mouse). Lineage: Eukaryota; Metazoa; Chordata; Mammalia; Rodentia; Muridae. The record is from RNAcentral.